CAAAAACCGACGAUCGAGAAUAGUAGCUGGUCUCCACCUGCCAAGAGAGGAAAUGCCCUGGGCUGCAAGCAUUUCUGCAAGGUACAUCAGUGAAUGAACACUCGGGAGGCUCCGCCCUGAAACCAGAGUAGGGGACGGACGUACCAGGCGUUAACUGGUGAAGUGGGAGUCUAAUGGACUCCAAUUAGGGUGGCACCACGGGAAUAACAGCUCUCGUCCCUUGU
This 224-nucleotide non-coding RNA is filed under the name Rossellomorea marisflavi. RNAcentral describes it as "Bacillus marisflavi T-box sequence". It matches the Rfam family "T-box leader". Rfam says of the family: Uncharged tRNA acts as the effector for transcription antitermination of genes in the T-box leader family. T-boxes are found upstream of many aminoacyl-tRNA synthetase genes and some amino acid biosynthetic genes usually in Gram-positive bacteria. The record is from RNAcentral. Lineage: Bacteria; Bacillati; Bacillota; Bacilli; Caryophanales; Bacillaceae. RNAcentral also lists the same sequence under 1 other name.